RNAcentral lists this ribosomal RNA (280 nucleotides) under uncultured bacterium. RNAcentral's name for it is "partial 16S ribosomal RNA". It matches the Rfam family "Bacterial small subunit ribosomal RNA", at positions 506 to 784 of the family's 1533-position model. The record is from RNAcentral.
UGCCAGCCGCCACGGUAUGACGGACGGGGUUAGGGUUGUUCGGGAAUUACUGGGCGUAAAGCGCACGUAGGCGGAUUAGAAAGUUAGAGGUGAAAUCCCGGGGCUCAACCCCGGAACUGCCUUUAAAACUACUAGUCUAGAGUUCGAGAGAGGUGAGUGGAAUUCCGAGUGUAGAGGUGAAAUUCGUAGAUAUUCGGAGGAACACCAGUGGCGAAGGCGGCUCACUGGCUCGAUACUGACGCUGAGGUGCGAAAGUGUGGGGAGCAAACAGGAUUAGAUA